AACGCUGGCGGCAGGCCUAACACAUGCAAGUCGAGCGAUCCCUUCGGGGAUAGCGGCGGACGGGUGAGUAACGCGUGGGAAUGUGCCUCUGGGUGCGGAACAACCGUUGGAAACGACGGCUAAUACCGCAUGAUGUCUUCGGACCAAAGAUUUAUCGCCCAGAGAUCAGCCCGCGUUGGAUUAGCUAGUUGGGGGGGUAAUGGCCCACCAAGGCGACGAUCCAUAGCUGGUUUGAGAGGAUGAUCAGCCACACUGGGACUGAGACACGGCCCAGACUCCUACGGGAGGCAGCAGUGGGGAAUCUUAGACAAUGGGGGAAACCCUGAUCUAGCCAUGCCGCGUGAACGAUGAAGGCCUUAGGGUUGUAAAGUUCUUUCACCGGGGAAGAUAAUGACGGUACCCGGAGAAGAAGCCCCGGCUAACUCCGUGCCAGCAGCCGC
This 440-nucleotide ribosomal RNA is filed under the name uncultured Alphaproteobacteria bacterium. RNAcentral describes it as "bacterial SSU rRNA". It matches the Rfam family "Bacterial small subunit ribosomal RNA", at positions 32 to 518 of the family's 1533-position model. The record is from RNAcentral. Lineage: Bacteria; Pseudomonadati; Pseudomonadota; Alphaproteobacteria.